RNAcentral lists this long non-coding RNA (254 nucleotides) under Gallus gallus (chicken). RNAcentral describes it as "long non-coding RNA NONGGAT004070". The record is from RNAcentral. Lineage: Eukaryota; Metazoa; Chordata; Aves; Galliformes; Phasianidae.
CCCCCCCGGCCCCUGCCUCGCCCCGGCCCGGCAUGGACGUUGGCGCUGCACGGUGCCGCUGAGCGGGGCCGCCCGGCGCAGAGGGGGGGAAAGAUGUCGGACACCAAGGUGAAGGUGGCCGUCAGGGUCCGACCCAUGAACAGGAGAGAGCUGGAGCUGAACACCAAGUGCGUGGUGGAGAUGGAGGGCAACCAGACCGUGCUGCACCCGCCGCCUUCCAACAGCAAGCAGGGAGAAAGGUAAACGCCGCGCCG